AGCUUGUUGGUGAGGUAACGGCUCACCAAGGCGACGAUGUAUAGCUGGUCUGAAAGGAUGAUCAGCCACACUGGGACUGAGACACGGCCCAGACUCCUACGGGAGGCAGCAGUCGGGAAUCUUGCACAUGCAUGGGCGAAGCCUGAUGCAGCAACGCCGUGUGAGCGAUGAAGGCCCUAGGGUCGUAAAGCUCUGUUGUUAGGGACGAAGGGCGAAGGGUUAAUAGCCAA
RNAcentral lists this ribosomal RNA (230 nucleotides) under uncultured Rubrobacter sp. RNAcentral describes it as "partial 16S ribosomal RNA". It matches the Rfam family "Bacterial small subunit ribosomal RNA", at positions 243 to 469 of the family's 1533-position model. The record is from RNAcentral. Lineage: Bacteria; Bacillati; Actinomycetota; Rubrobacteria; Rubrobacterales; Rubrobacteraceae.